UGGAGCAAAACUCAAAAACUUAGUCUCAGUUCGGAUUGUAGGCUGAAACUCGCCUACAUGAAGCUGGAGUUGCUAGUAAUCGCGAAUCAGCAUGUCGCGGUGAAUACGUUCCCGGGCCUUGUACACACCGCCCGUCACACCAUGAGAGUUGGCAAUACCCAACGUACGUGAUCUAACCCGCAAGGGAGGAAGCGUCCUAAGGUAGGGUCAGCGAUUGGGGCGAAGUCGUAACAAGGUAAC
Molecule: ribosomal RNA, 240 nt
Filed under: uncultured bacterium
Lineage: Bacteria
Description: partial 16S ribosomal RNA
Rfam family: Bacterial small subunit ribosomal RNA
Source: RNAcentral